Triticum dicoccoides is the source of this 627-nucleotide long non-coding RNA. RefSeq lists it as uncharacterized. NCBI's taxonomy places the organism in Eukaryota, Viridiplantae, Streptophyta, Magnoliopsida, Poales, Poaceae. The transcript is spliced from 5 exons. The record is from RefSeq and is a predicted model, not a curated record.
ACUGGCCAUUCACCCGAGUCGCCCGCUUGUGCUAUCAGCAUCCAACGACAGCUUAAUCAAGCUAUGGAACUGGAAGACUGACUGGUCAAAUCAAGUUUAACCCGCUGGAAGGAAACACUUCCGCAAGUGCUUCAAAAGAUGGCACAACAAAGAUCUGGUGUUGUUCUUCUCCCGUUCCUAUUGCUACAUUGGACUGUGAUGGUGGGCUGAUAUGUGUUGAUUAUUUUUCCCAUGGUGGUGAUCGACAAUAUGUGGUUACCGGAUCCGACAAUGGGGUUGCACAGAUUUGGGAUUUGCGGACAAAGAAAUGUAUCCAAGAACUCGAGGGACUCCGACAUAUGUCUGGGGUCAAUGUUGGUGUGAUCGAUGGCAUGCAAGGGCAUCCUGUUCUAAUAACAUCUUCAGAUGAAUAUGCUAUUUCUUUGCGCAACUACAACACCUAUGGGUAUGAGAGAACGAUGGACUUUAAGCUCGAUAGGGUUCGUGGUGGUUUUGCUUUCAUUAAGGCCAUAAAAAGCCUGGUGAUUGGAUUUGACGAUGGAUUUGCAAUAGUGGAAAUGAAUUAAUUUGGCACUAAAGAUUGUGCUACUGUUGAAAGAAAAUAGCGGCUGAAUAAAAGUGGUGCCA